Molecule: long non-coding RNA, 485 nt
Filed under: Sus scrofa (pig)
Lineage: Eukaryota; Metazoa; Chordata; Mammalia; Artiodactyla; Suidae
Description: lncRNA (ENSSSCG00070002625.1)
Source: RNAcentral
UUAUUCUUUCCGCCUUCUGCAUCUGCUUUAAGGAGCUUUGUAGAUACGAUUGGCUGUGGAUUUGGGCCGGAUCAGGGCUGUUUCUGCAAUCUAUUUCCCUAAUCCCACUUUAAUUUUAUUCAUCUUUUUUUUUAGACUAUUAAAGAUAAUUUAAUUGAUCUCACCUCUUAUUUGGUUUGGAUACGUGAAAUCCCAUCAAGUUAAAGGAUCACGAGGAAGUCUCUCCCUUAAGGUUCAUGGAGACUCAAGACAAACAAGGUGUUGCUGGUACGAAUGCACACGUCUGCAAAUCUCAGGAAGCUCGGUGUCUGAUGAGGCAUUGAUCCUUACACCGAAUGGACAUGAGACUACGGAAACGGCUGCCACAGGGAAAAGCAUCAGGCCGUGGCUUCUUAGGUCUGAGAAUCUGCUGACACUGCGUUCCUGAGGGAAGAAAGUGCUACUGACUGAAUAAACCUGGGGCUUUAGGGGAGGAAGAUUCUGAG